Molecule: unclassified non-coding RNA, 280 nt
Filed under: Hevea brasiliensis (rubber tree)
Lineage: Eukaryota; Viridiplantae; Streptophyta; Magnoliopsida; Malpighiales; Euphorbiaceae
Source: RNAcentral
ACCUGGAGAAUAGAAGAAAAAAGUAAACUCAAAAUAGUAAUUAUCGGCCUGAAGGAUCCGCAUGGAGAUUUUAACAUAACUGAACUUAACGAGAAAUUUAAAAAUAAAAGUAAAGAACGUGAAACGAGAUCAUUCGGAAAGGUGACAGUCUGGGCACUUACCUAUGCGAAGUCAAGGCUAUCAAACUGACUCAGGAGAUCAUGAAUAUUGUUGCGUUGCAGGCAGGCGAUAUAGGGACCAAUGUUCACUUUGAGAUUUCAAGAGCCAAGUUGAGAUACAG